RNAcentral lists this ribosomal RNA (427 nucleotides) under uncultured bacterium. RNAcentral describes it as "bacterial SSU rRNA". It matches the Rfam family "Bacterial small subunit ribosomal RNA", at positions 355 to 774 of the family's 1533-position model. The record is from RNAcentral.
UGGGGAAUUUUGGACAAUGGGCGCAAGCCUGAUCCAGCCAUGCCGCGUGCAGGAUGAAGGCCUUCGGGUUGUAAACUGCUUUUGUACGGAACGAAAAGGUGCCUUCUAAUAAAGGGCGCUCAUGACGGUACCGUAAGAAUAAGCACCGGCUAACUACGUGCCAGCAGCCGCGGUAAUACGUAGGGUGCGAGCGUUAAUCGGAAUUACUGGGCGUAAAGCGUGCGCAGGCGGUUUUGUAAGACAGAGGUGAAAUCCCCGGGCUCAACCUGGGAACUGCCGUUGNGACUGCAAGGCUGGAGUGCGGCAGAGGGGGAUGGAAUUCCGCGUGUAGCAGUGAAAUGCGUAGAUAUGCGGAGGAACACCGAUGGCGAAGGCAAUCCCCUGGGCCUGCACUGACGCUCAUGCACGAAAGCGUGGGGAGCAAACA